RNAcentral lists this non-coding RNA (29 nucleotides) under Mus musculus (house mouse). The record is from RNAcentral. Lineage: Eukaryota; Metazoa; Chordata; Mammalia; Rodentia; Muridae.
GUGUUAAUGGUCCUUUACGCUAGUGGUGU